RNAcentral lists this long non-coding RNA (282 nucleotides) under Ananas comosus (pineapple). RNAcentral's name for it is "long non-coding RNA (ACOM_LNC041911)". Lineage: Eukaryota; Viridiplantae; Streptophyta; Magnoliopsida; Poales; Bromeliaceae. The record is from RNAcentral.
CUUUUCUCUCUCUCUCUAGGAAAGAAAAGAAAAGAAAGAGAAGAAGGAGAAGAAGAAGAGGAAGGAGAAGAAGAAGAGAAAGAAGGAGAAAGAGAAAGAGAAGACUAAGAAGAAAAAGAAGAAGAUAUCUUCUUCUCUCCCUCUCCCUCAAGCUUGAGGAAACCUUGUGUAGGGGUAAGCUCUAAACCCCUUUAAUGGUAUUUUUAGGGUUUGGGUUUUUAGGAUUUAGAAUUGGUUCAAAUGGAACCUAUUAGGGAUAAAUGGAAGGUUCGAGCUCGCAAU